AUGGUUCAAUUUCCCGUCCGUUCCGAUGAAGGAAGAGGUUCUGAACCUGUUAAGCAGAUUGGUUAAGUAUCCCCCAGCAGUCCAACAUUUGGUUGACUUUGGUGCAGUAGAGUUCUUAUCUAAGCUUCGGUCUAAUGUGGAGCCAAAUCUGCAGGCUGAAAUUGAUGGCAUUUUGGAUGGACUUUUUAUUCUUCCUUCGGAAGUUCCUGCAGUAUCUUCUGCCUCAUACCAAACCAAUCAAACUGAAUUGUCAAAAAACCGUGAAAUCUUAACAGGAUAUUUUCCCCAAGACAAAAGUAAUUUGCAGCAGAUGGAGGUGCCGCCACGACCAGUGGUAAAUCAGACUGUGAAGUGCUUGAAGUUUUCUAUAUUUCCUUGGCUACCCCUGACCACCACAGACAGACAUGUCCUCUCCUCUAAUGAAAGCUCUUUAAGAAGUAGUAACCACACUUUAAUCUGGAACACCUGUGAACUAUUGAAGGACGUUAUCAUGCAAGAUUUUCCUGCUGAGAUUUUCCUUCAAAGACCAAAAAUUGUUCAGAGCCUUUUAUCUCUGUUGAAACUGGCCUUUGGAGGAGAUGGAAAGCAUCGCCUGGCAUUACAGUCAGUGUCCUGCCUGCAGCAGCUGUGCACGUAUUUAAGAAACAGACUUAACUUUCACCGAGAUCCAGGUUUUUUCUCCAAUAAACAGGACACAGUUUCCCAAAAUUCUUCUUUGUCUUAUUGUCAUGAAGCAAGAGGUACUCAUCAUUCCCAGAAUCCUUCCCCAGGAAGCAGCAGCCCUCGGCCUUCUGUGGUUGGGCGCACAGGCCAGCGACCCAGAGGAGAUGGCCAGGACUGGGAUGCAGCGUCCUCUAGGUGACUGCUAGCAGUGUCUCUGGGGAAAUUAGAAAUGCCGGUUAACUUGUGUGUGUUAAUUUCAGAAGGAGAUAAUUAUUUUUCUGUCCUUUUUUUUUUGAAACAUUAACACAGGUAUAGGCCUUGUGUUAAACCCUGGCUUCAUACUUUUUUUGACCAUGAUCCACAGUAAGGACAGAUAAAUAUUACAUCGCAACUCAGUGCUCAGUACGUGAACAUAUACUCUGUUUAUGUAUAUAUGUGUGUGUAUGUGUCCCCCAAAA
This 1121-nucleotide small RNA is filed under the name Pongo abelii (Sumatran orangutan). Its description in RNAcentral is "retained intron". Lineage: Eukaryota; Metazoa; Chordata; Mammalia; Primates; Hominidae. The record is from RNAcentral.